This 587-nucleotide long non-coding RNA is filed under the name Sinocyclocheilus anshuiensis. RNAcentral's name for it is "lncRNA (ENSSANG00000005232.1)". Lineage: Eukaryota; Metazoa; Chordata; Actinopteri; Cypriniformes; Cyprinidae. The record is from RNAcentral.
UCUAUUUUACGCAUUAGUAGAAAAUCAAAACUUCGCAAGUUCUCUUGUAAAAUAAAAUAAUUAAAAAAACAACAACAUGGAAUAAACUGUGUACAGAAAGCGAUUAAAGAACACUCAACAUUAGGCUACUAAAAAGAUCAGUUUAAUCUCGCAAAAACUCCCAUUAAUAAAAAAAACUGACUACACUUCACAAUUAAUCUCUUGCACUGCAUCCUUGUUGUUUAUGAUGAAUUCGGUGCUUGCACGUAGCCUACACUGCUUUUAUUAUUAUUGCAGCUUAGAUGUUCAAAUAGCUGCAGUACUCCGACUUUGCCACAAGGACAAGUGCGUACGCCUGCUCAGACCCUGACGUGACGAACAGAAUAAAGGCUUCUGGAAUUGCUCCCCAUCUUGGAGAUUCUUCAUGUAAAAUCACUGAUGAGUGUAACAGCUGUGAUAAGAGGCCUGCUAGAGUUUAUCUGGAGUUUCACAGGUGACAAAUCUGAGCUUCCAAGACACAGCACAGCUACACACGCACACAAUCUGCUCUUUAAGGUAAACUGGCAUACAGUCUGUUCAUUUUAUUAAUGUAUGAAGUUUAAUACCAA